UUCGGGACAUGAGGCCACCACUGUCAGUAGUGACCGCUCUGCGAAGGCUUCUUCCUACCCUCUCUUCCUGUCUAUCGGUGAGGAGGCCAGCUCCUCUCUACCGAGCCUGUCCUCACGAUGUGCCAAUUUUAUGUACUUUCAGUGACUUUCAUUCAGCAAAGAUUUAUCGAUUGGCCUCUAUGAGCUGAUGGCGAGCAAGAGGGGCAGAAUCCUUCACCUCACGUAGUUCACGGUCUGCUGGAGAAUCACAAACGGUGGGGAGAGGGGGAAAGAAGAGGGUCUCGAGCAGAAGGAACAACACACAUAACCUGCUCAUGGAAGGAACUCAAUCAAUUUUUGUUGAAGAAAAUAUUGAAAAUUUAAUUUACAAACGAACUUUGAGUUGCAGCUGGAGUCCUCUGGGCCUACUUCAUCUUCAAAUGCACACUCUCAAAAUUAUGGUAAAAUUCUCAAAAUUAAAAAGUGAUAUUGGCAAAGUU
Molecule: long non-coding RNA, 479 nt
Organism: Leptonychotes weddellii (Weddell seal)
Lineage: Eukaryota; Metazoa; Chordata; Mammalia; Carnivora; Phocidae
Source: RefSeq, a predicted model, not a curated record